UGGGGAAUAUUGCACAAUGGGCGCAAGCCUGAUGCAGCAACGCCGCGUGAACGAUGAAGGUCUUCGGAUCGUAAAGUUCUGUUGCAGGGGAAGAUAAUGACGGUACCUUGUGAGGAAGCCCCGGCUAACUACGUGCCAGCAGCCGCGGUAAUACGUAGGGGGCUAGCGUUAUCCGGAUUUACUGGGCGGAAAGGGUGCGUAGGUGGUCUUUCAAGUCGGUGGUUAAAGGCUACGGCUCAACCGUAGUUAGCCUCCGAAACUGGAAGACUUGAGUGCAGGAGAGGAAAGUGGAAUUCCCAGUGUAGCGGUGAAAUGCGUAGAUAUUGGGAGGAACACCAGUAGCGAAGGCGGCUUUCUGGACUGCAACUGACACUGAGGCACGAAAGCGUGGGUAGCAAACAGG
Molecule: ribosomal RNA, 403 nt
Filed under: Verrucomicrobiota bacterium
Lineage: Bacteria; Pseudomonadati; Verrucomicrobiota
Description: Verrucomicrobia bacterium partial 16S ribosomal RNA
Rfam family: Bacterial small subunit ribosomal RNA
Source: RNAcentral